This is a long non-coding RNA of Mustela lutreola (European mink), 1151 nucleotides long. RefSeq lists it as uncharacterized. NCBI's taxonomy places the organism in Eukaryota, Metazoa, Chordata, Mammalia, Carnivora, Mustelidae. The record is from RefSeq and is a predicted model, not a curated record. The transcript is spliced from 3 exons.
UGCGCGCCGCGUUCCGGAGCUGCGCCGCCGCUCAGCACCGAGGCGGCCUCCGCAGGACCGACCCCGAGGCUUCGGGACCGACCCUGAGGCUUCGAGUGGAUGUUUGUGCCCGCGCUCGCUCCCCGACCGCUGUGGGGGCCGCGGGGCCGCGUCCACGCUGACAGGUCUCACCCCUUCAGGGCCCGCGGCGGGAGGAGAAGAAUAUAUUUGGAGAAAACUAUUGCUCCAUGAAUAUAUAUCUGUCAAGGCGUCAUUAUGUCCUGUGUCAUGCUUCCCUGAGCUGGCCAGAGCACUCAUGUCCCAUAUUUGAAACUCAGCUUCAGACUUUACGAUAAAGAACAUGCUUUUGCAUGGGGUUUGGCAAGAUUCGUUCCAAGUCUUCUCUAGCUGGUGCGGAAGUUGCGGAGAGCAGCGCCCUCCAUCCGCUAGGAUCAGCGUGAGAGGCUGAGUGUUCUCAAGAAGGUGUCUGGCUUUCGCAGGGCUCACUGUGAGCCUGUGCACAGGACUGACGAGGACAGUUCACAGUUUUGCUCUGAAGAUGGAGUCUCGGAAGAAUGCGGUGCCCCAUGUGAUCCCAGGAAGGGGACAGACCUGGUGUCCACUGUAGAGUUACGUUGUGGGAGUGGUCGUGAUCUGCAGCCUCUGCUUCAUGAGAUGUCUGUCCUUUAUUGAGUUCUGGGUGUGCUUUUUGUGACUUUUUCCUAAAGGGUGGGAUUUCCAAGGAGUGGGAUUUUUUUGGCUUCACUGUAAUUGCUGGUCCACUGGGAGUGAACAAGUCCUGUUCUGCUGCUGAGAAGUUGUGUCCCUAGCGGCUGGAGUGUGUAUUACAAGCUUCGAGGUCAAUGGUGAGGUGGUUACAGCGGUCAGCAGGCUAUUGUUAUUGAUGAUUUUUAUGGGUGAAUUCCAUAGGAUGAGAUGUUAGAUCUUAUGGUUAGAGAUCCUCCUUAAGUGCCCAUAAAGGGAGCUUUUUCUGAGUUUCAUAUUUGAUAUCUUUUUAUUACUACUAAUAGUCCUCCUUGUACUUGGUAUUCCAAUGAGCAGGGCAUUUCAACAUUGCCUGUAUUUUACUCUUGUGUUGAUGAGGAUUUGAGAAAGGAACAUGUCAGUGCUUCCACAAAUGUACACUGGAACAACCAAAUAAUAAAAUUUUA